This is a non-coding RNA of Microcebus murinus (gray mouse lemur), 410 nucleotides long. NCBI's taxonomy places the organism in Eukaryota, Metazoa, Chordata, Mammalia, Primates, Cheirogaleidae. The record is from RefSeq and is a predicted model, not a curated record.
GGACUACAGGUAUGAGCCACUGUGCCUGGCCACCCCAUGUACUAGCACCAUUCAGGCCCCAGGGAAUGCUUCCAAAGUUUCUUGCCCUAUGUCCUGGGAACAAAAAUGGACUUUGCUGAUUGCUGUAAAGGCUUACUAUUUGUUUCAUUGCCAACAUCAGAGACAGACACUGCUUUGGAGUCUGAGGAGGGCUGAGAUAUAGGAGGACUUAGUUUCAGUUACUGUUCCAAAUUGGAGAUAUUCGCAGAUUACAUUGGCAUUCACAACAGUUGCACAUGGCAGCUGAGGGAUAUUUUCCAAUAGAACAAGUCUGAUUUCUCAUCUGUGUAUGUGUAGAUCUAGAUGUAAUUAUGUGUGGAGCAUGGUACCAAUUCUUCCUAUUGGCAUUUAGAACAAUAUUGAACAUUAAA